UACGAAGGGGGCUAGCGUUGUUCGGAAUUAUUGGGCGUAAAGGGAGCGUAGGCGGUUCGGCAAGUCUCUAGUGAAAUCUCUGGGCUCAACCCAGAGUCUGCUGGGGAAACUGCCGGGCUUGAGUAUGGGAGAGGUGAGUGGAAUUCCCGGUGUAGCGGUGAAAUGCGUAGAUAUCGGGAGGAACCCCUGUGGCGAAGGCGACUUCCUGGCCUGUUCUUGACGCUGAGGCGCGAAAGCUAGGGGAGCACACGGG
RNAcentral lists this ribosomal RNA (253 nucleotides) under uncultured bacterium. Its description in RNAcentral is "partial 16S ribosomal RNA". It matches the Rfam family "Bacterial small subunit ribosomal RNA", at positions 524 to 776 of the family's 1533-position model. The record is from RNAcentral.